Molecule: non-coding RNA, 135 nt
Organism: Caenorhabditis elegans
Lineage: Eukaryota; Metazoa; Nematoda; Chromadorea; Rhabditida; Rhabditidae
Source: Ensembl
AGCUUCUGACGGAAAGGGAGUGGUUGUUACGACCACGAAGCUUUUUUAAGAAUCUUGUGAGUGUGUGAAGAUGCGGUGAUGGAGGUAACCCCCGUCGCUAAAAUUUUGGAAAAGGAUCCCGGAAGGGAUCCAAAA